GGGGUAACGGCCUACCAAGGCGACGAUCAGUAGCCGACCUGAGAGGGUGAUCGGCCACAUUGGAACUGAGACACGGUCCAAACUCCUACGGGAGGCAGCAGUGGGGAAUAUUGGGCAAUGGGCGAAAGCCUGACCCAGCAACGCCGCGUGAAGGAAGAAGGUUUUCGGAUCGUAAACUUCUAUCCUUGGUGAAGAUAAUGACGGUAGCCAAGAAGGAAGCCCCGGCUAACUACGUGCCAGCAGCCGCGGUAAUACGUAGGGGGCAAGCGUUGUCCGGAAUGAUUGGGCGUAAAGGGCGCGUAGGCGGCCCGGUAAGUCUGGAGUGAAAGUCCUGCUUUUAAGGUGGGAAUUGCUUUGGAUACUGCUGGGCUUGAGUGCAGGAGAGGUAAGUGGAAUUCCCGGUGUAGCGGUGAAAUGCGUAGAGAUCGGGAGGAACACCAGUGGCGAAGGCGACUUACUGGACUGUAACUGACGCUGAGGCGCGAAAGUGUGGGGAGCAAACAGGAUUAGAUACCCUGGUAGUCCACACUGUAAACGAUGAAUGCUAGGUGUAGGGGGUAUCGACCCCUUCUGUGCCGGAGUUAACACAAUAAGCAUUCCGCCUGGGGAGUACGGCCGCAAGGUUGAAACUCAAAGGAAUUGACGGGGGCCCGCACAAGCAGCGGAGCAUGUGGUUUAAUUCGAAGCAACGCGAAGAACCUUACCAGUCUUGACAUCCAGUAAAAGCUGUAGAGAUACAGUGUGCCUUCGGCAUACUGAGACAGUGGUGCAUGGUUGUCGUCAGCUCGUGUCGUGAGAUGUUGGGUUA
Molecule: ribosomal RNA, 808 nt
Filed under: uncultured bacterium
Lineage: Bacteria
Description: bacterial SSU rRNA
Rfam family: Bacterial small subunit ribosomal RNA
Source: RNAcentral